UGCGCAGGCGGCCGUGUAAGUCAGAGGUGAAAUAUGACGGCUCAACCGUCAAACUGCCUCUGAGACUGCUCGGCUUGAGUCCGGGAGAGGAAGGUGGAAUUCCUGGUGUAGCGGUGAAAUGCGUAAAUAUCAGGAGGAACACCGGUGGCGAAGGCGGCCUUCUGGAUCGUCCCUGACGCUAAGACGCGAAAGCUAGGGGAGCGAACG
RNAcentral lists this ribosomal RNA (207 nucleotides) under uncultured bacterium. RNAcentral's name for it is "partial 16S ribosomal RNA". It matches the Rfam family "Bacterial small subunit ribosomal RNA", at positions 568 to 774 of the family's 1533-position model. The record is from RNAcentral.